UAAGUGAUAGUUCAGUUAGCUCAACAUU
Molecule: small RNA, 28 nt
Filed under: Bombyx mori (domestic silkworm)
Lineage: Eukaryota; Metazoa; Arthropoda; Insecta; Lepidoptera; Bombycidae
Description: ovarian small RNA-19425
Source: RNAcentral